RNAcentral lists this ribosomal RNA (672 nucleotides) under Nomoclastes quasimodo. RNAcentral's name for it is "partial large subunit ribosomal RNA". The stretch from base 448 to 672 matches the Rfam family "Eukaryotic large subunit ribosomal RNA", at positions 665 to 858 of the family's 3401-position model. The record is from RNAcentral. Lineage: Eukaryota; Metazoa; Arthropoda; Arachnida; Opiliones; Nomoclastidae.
UCAGCCGAACGCCGUUGAGCCCGCCGGACCGUCCGCGCUUCCCUCCCGGGACGCGGCGGUCCGGUGUGCUGGCUCCGGCUCGCGGCGCAUUUCCUCCCGUCCUCCGACGCCGCGACCGGUCGGGCACGCCACGAGCAGUCGGCCUUACUCGCGGGAGACGGAAGGUAGCCGGGUCGGCGCGCACGCGCCGCUCCCCGGUGUUUAGCCGUCCCGCAAUCGAGUCAGCCGUUCGCCCGACCGCAGGAUCUGUGGCCCUCAGGGGCCCUGCCGCGCCCUCCCCGGCUUCCGGGGAUCGCAGCCCGUCUCGGAAGGGAUGCCGCUUGUCUCGCGCCGCACCCGAGGUGCACGCGAGGCGGCGGUGCCCGCUGGCCGAGGCGGUUUCGAUUCGGGCGCCGGCGGUCCGCGGCGAGUAGGUCGGUCACCCACUCGACCCGUCUUGAAACACGGACCAAGGAGUUUAACAUGCACGCGAGUCACUGGGUCUUGAACAGGCCCAAGGGCGCAAUGAAAGUGAAGGGCUGCUCCUGCAGUCCGCGUUGGGAUCCCCCGUCCUCCGCGGCGGGGGCGCACCAACGGCUCGUCCGGGCCGCCACGUCGGCCGGGCGAAGCUAGAGCGUGCACGUUGAGACCCGAAAGAUGGUGAACUAUGGCUGGGCAGGACGAAGCCAGCGG